AACGAACGCUGGCGGCAUGCCUAACACAUGCCAGUCGAACGAGGCCUUCGGGUCUAGUGGCGCACGGGUGCGUAACGCGUGGGAACCUGCCCUUAGGUUCGGAAUAACUCCCCGAAAGGGGUGCUAAUACCGGAUAAUGUCUUCGGACCAAAGAUUUAUCGCCUUUGGAUGGGCCCGCGUUGGAUUAGCUAGUUGGUAGGGUAAAAGCCUACCAAGGCGACGAUCCAUAGCUGGUCUGAGAGGAUGAUCAGCCACACUGGGACUGAGACACGGCCCAGACUCCUACGGGAGGCAGCAGUGGGGAAUAUUGGACAAUGGGCGAAAGCCUGAUCCAGCAAUGCCGCGUGAGUGAUGAAGGCCUUAGGGUUGUAAAGCUCUUUUACCCGGGAUGAUAAUGACAGUACCGGGAGAAUAAGCUCCGGCUAACUCCGU
Molecule: ribosomal RNA, 432 nt
Filed under: uncultured bacterium
Lineage: Bacteria
Description: partial 16S ribosomal RNA
Rfam family: Bacterial small subunit ribosomal RNA
Source: RNAcentral